UCGAAAGGUACCGUCAAACCCCGAUAAAUCGGGGAUAUUCUUCCCUAACAAAAGCAGUUUACGACCCAUAGGGCUGUCAUCCUGCACGCGGGAUGGCUGGAUCAGGCUUUCGCCCAUUGUCCAAUAUUCCUUA
Molecule: ribosomal RNA, 133 nt
Filed under: uncultured bacterium
Lineage: Bacteria
Description: partial 16S ribosomal RNA
Source: RNAcentral